UACGUAGGGGGCAAGCGUUGUCCGGAUUUACUGGGUGUAAAGGGCGUGCAGCCGGGCUGACAAGUCAGAUGUGAAAUCCCGCGGCUCAACCGCGGAACUGCAUUUGAAACUGUCAGUCUUGAGUACCGGAGAGGUCAUCGGAACUCCUUGUGUAGCGGUGAAAUGCGUAGAUAUAAGGAAGAACACCAGUGGCGAAGGCGGAUGACUGGACGGCAACUGACGGUGAGGCGCGAAAGCGUGGGGAGCAAACAGG
This 253-nucleotide ribosomal RNA is filed under the name uncultured bacterium. RNAcentral's name for it is "partial 16S ribosomal RNA". It matches the Rfam family "Bacterial small subunit ribosomal RNA", at positions 524 to 776 of the family's 1533-position model. The record is from RNAcentral.